AGUGAACGCUGGCGGUAGGCCUAACACAUGCAAGUCGAACGGCAGCACAGUAAGAGCUUGCUCUUACGGGUGGCGAGUGGCGGACGGGUGAGGAAUACAUCGGAAUCUACUUUUUCGUGGGGGAUAACGUAGGGAAACUUACGCUAAUACCGCAUACGACCUACGGGUGAAGGCAGGGGAUCUUCGGACCUUGCGCGAUUGAAUGAGCCGAUGUCGGAUUAGCUAGUUGGCGGGGUAAAGGCCCACCAAGGCGACGAUCCGUAGCUGGUCUGAGAGGAUGAUCAGCCACACUGGAAAUGAGACACGGUCCAGACUCCUACGGGAGGCAGCAGUGGGGAAUAUUGGACAAUGGGCGCAAGCCUGAUCCAGCCAUACCGCGUGGGUGAAGAAGGCCUUCGGGUUGUAAAGCCCUUUUGUUGGGAAAGAAAAGCAGCAGGUUAAUACCCCGCUGUUCUGACGGUACCCAAAGAAUAAGCACCGGCUAACUUCGUG
RNAcentral lists this ribosomal RNA (492 nucleotides) under uncultured bacterium. RNAcentral describes it as "partial 16S ribosomal RNA". It matches the Rfam family "Bacterial small subunit ribosomal RNA", at positions 29 to 507 of the family's 1533-position model. The record is from RNAcentral.